CCGCCCCCGCCGUUCCGCGAUCCCCGGGACCUUCCGUGGGUCUGUGGCGCUGGGAUGCCCGGUGGGAGCACGGAGAGACUAAAUAGUCUCGCUCUCCCUCCCUCAAAAGGUUUUCUCACCUUGAGGCAUGAAGCCUGGAAGACUGUUAGCGAAGGUCAAGCCAACGAAGGCAUGCAGACAGAAGCUAAGACCAGUAGUGAAGCUGUCUACAUGAAGCAUCUCUAUACAUAUGCUGCAUUUGCUCUUUGAAUUCCAGCUGUCAUCCUCCAGUCUUUUUCUAGAGAAAUUUUCUAAGAGCUGACUGCAAUGGUUUUGAGGAGACUGGAAGGUUUGUGGAGCUGGUGGGUUUUCAAGUCAAAAGAAGAGUGCUUAGGCCCCAUGGAAUCAGCAGUCUAACUGUGAGUUCAUCUGAAACUGGAGAGGUUUGCCACUUGCACAGGAGUUGUCCUUGGGCAUCUUCCACUUACUGCCACAAAUAAAAGUAAGUCAGGAAGAAAAACAGGAUUUGGUGUUGAGUGUUUUGCUUUCCAACUCAAAAAAUGUAGUGUUCAUUGACACAAUAGCAACAAACCCAAACCCACCAAUGAAGUUAAAGGUUAGUUAACAAAGUUUAAACACCAAGAAAAAGAUGGUGUUGGGGAUCCAGAAAGAACCUGACAAGCAUCGCUGCUGAACUACCCCAGUGAGGGGAGAAGGACUCAAUAUUCCCCACUGGGAGAAGAGGCAGAAGUCAGAUUCUGCAGCUGAGGGGAUGCUUUUUUCACUCCAGGUGAGGAAAGAGCUGGUUGCCUUCAUGGGGCUGCAUGGUAUUGUCCUUCUCUGUGUAUUCUUUACAAUUCUUUACAAUUUUGUGAAGAAUUGUAAUUUUUUUUUUACAAUUCUUUUACAAUUUCUUUACAAUUUUUUCUCAAGUUUCUUCUGUCUCUCUGCUAAAUGUUUCCUCACCUAUGCUUGGAGUGGGAACAGAGAAAGUCUCAAUGGAAGAUAAAGAUGUUCAGUUACUUGUCCUGAGGAGGCUUAGCUCCACUGGUCCUACUCCCUUCUCUUUCUGUGGCCGUGAGGUACUCGGCAGAAGAGUUACAGGUCUCGGUGACCCACGCUGCCUGUGGGGCUCACGUCCAUGUGCCCUCAAAGUAUAUG
Molecule: long non-coding RNA, 1140 nt
Organism: Parus major (Great Tit)
Lineage: Eukaryota; Metazoa; Chordata; Aves; Passeriformes; Paridae
Exons: 4
Source: RefSeq, a predicted model, not a curated record